Phascolarctos cinereus (koala) is the source of this 2259-nucleotide non-coding RNA. The record is from RefSeq and is a predicted model, not a curated record. NCBI's taxonomy places the organism in Eukaryota, Metazoa, Chordata, Mammalia, Diprotodontia, Phascolarctidae.
GAAAGUGGAGAGAGGGAAGGGGAGAGGCAGAGAGGAGGAAGGGUGGAAGGAAUGAAGGGAGAGAGGGCUGGACCCUUCCACUGAACAUGGUCAAGGAAACAGCCCAGGAGCUGGCCUUCCCUGGGGCCCUUGGAGUCUGCUUCUCUUCCCACAGCAAAGACAGGAGCACUUAACAUGUGCUCCAGAAACCCUAAUUGAUUGACUGACUGACUGACCCACAGGCUCUGCUGGCAGGGUUGGAGCACAGCCUCCCAUUCCAUUGGCUGGGAAGGCCUGAAACUACUCUCAGACCCUCCCUCAAGGCCACACCAGGCCUCAGGAACCCAGAUGUUCCAGCUCCCAGGCCCACCGACCUGGCCACCGGCCUGGGACUGAGGGCAGAUCGGCCCGGGAACCCUGGACUGAGACCGAAAAACCGCAGCAGUAUAAUGAAAGAAAGACAGGGAGCCGGCAGAGACCCGGAGGAGGAAGACAGAGUCACGGAGAUCCUGGUCCCCCCACCCAGAUGAGGAAACCGAGGCCCAGAGAAGUCCACAAAGUCAGCCUGGACCCACUAGAGUCAACGAAGGAGCUCUCUGAGGAGCCGCCUUGACUCGUUUCUCCAGGACAUCUGGGCCUCUCCCCGCCCAGCACUGGAUGCCAGACAGGUCUCUGAGCUGGUGAGGGCCGAAGAAGCCAUGACAGAUGUACUGGGGCUGAAGUAGGGAGUGGUGGACAGUUCUCUCUCUUCUUGCAGAAGGCAUUUCCUCCUUUCCCCUCAUAUUCCUCUUGAGUCCUCUUCUCCAGGGCAUCAGGGAGACUUGCUCAAACUGGGCACUCUGCCUUCAGACUGACUGGCCCCCACCUGGCGAGCUCUUCCUCCUUCCUGGGCUCUCAGUUCAGCACCCACACCCAAAUUUGGGCACUCGCCUUCGGCUCUGCCGUGGGCCUCUCCUGGGUGACCAUCAUUGUCUGACCCAGAUGUCUCCUCUCUCCUGAGUCCAAGAGAUCGCCCGAUGUCUGCUGGGCACUUGGAGGUGGCAUCUCCAACUCAUCACAUCCCCGAGAAAAGUCAGCGUCUUUCCUCCAAUGCUCUCCACUUCUGGGGAGGGCCCUGCUAUGUCUGUCACGAGGGUGCCUGGAGUCUUCCUUCACCCUCCUCCUCCAUGGCCAGUGCCUCACCACUCUCCCCUUCUCUCUGCUGACACUCCCACCUUGCUCCCAAGCAGUGGCCUCUUCCUUCUCUUAUCCUUCCCUUCCCAGACAACCUUUCACUUUACUCAGGCCACCCAUGACUCCCCUACCUGAGACUGGAACUCUGCCCGACCCAGCCCUGGACUCUGACAGGCCAUGUUUGGCCAAAUGGCCUGGGCAUCUCUACUGCCAGCCACUUGGACCACCUCUACCCCCUCUUGGGAGUUCCUUGAGGCCAGGGAUUCUCUUUUCUUGCUCUAUUCUCCCCAGGAAGCCAACCUUCCUAAAGCACGGGUCUGAGCAUGGGCUGCCCGUUGCUUCUAGGGUAAUCUGUCCGGCAUUUGGAGCCUGUCUCUCCCAUCCCUGGCCUGUCUCCUGGCCCUUCCCUUCGGGCUCAAACACGGCCUCCCCCUUCACCUCUGCUGGCCCUAACCAGCCCUACUGGGCAUAACACUGUUUCCUUGGACCAGGGGCUCCCCAGCCUGAGAAUGAAUGGAUGCUCCACGAGGGCAGGGAGGGCUCGUUGCUUUUCUUUGGAAGUUGGUCAGUGUUUAAUGUUUACUGCACUGACUCCAGAGCUAGGAGCAAUGGGGGAAGGGGGAAGGUGGGGGUACUGGGCAUGAUCCGGGGCUGCAAAGCUCCCAGGCCGGGUCUCCGGAGGAUUCUGAGGCAGCUGCAAGUUGGAUUCCAGGCCUGCAAUACCUCCCAGCCUGACACUGUGUGGGACUUUUUUGCCCAAGGGCCGGUAACUAGGAAGGAGCCAAGGGCAGGAUUUGAAACCAGGUCCUGCCCUAGACCCAGGAACAAGGCAGCAGGCCUGAGCUCCAGCCUUUAUUGUUACACCUGUUGUCACCGAAAUAAAUAAUUCUGCAUACAUUCUUCAGUCAAAUUCGGGGAGUAGGCACAAGCAGGCGGUAAUACUGCUCCUGGAGGGGUGGGCAUAUAUUCACCCCAGCCCACAACCCGGUCUGACCAUUCCUCCCGAGGUCCAGACACCACUCCCCAGGCAGGGACAGACACCAGGCAUUCUUGCUUCUGCUUACUCAGAGGGCCUAAAGCUCCAAAAAGCUGGCUGAGGCCAGGGGG